Molecule: unclassified non-coding RNA, 732 nt
Filed under: Hevea brasiliensis (rubber tree)
Lineage: Eukaryota; Viridiplantae; Streptophyta; Magnoliopsida; Malpighiales; Euphorbiaceae
Source: RNAcentral
UGAAUCUCCUUAACAAUUAAGGAAGAAGAAAGGAAGAAGAAACAAGAAAAGGGUAAAAAGGAGGAAGAAAGGGCCUCUCUUCCUCUUUUGUAGUAUAAAGAGGCCCUCAAGGAGUGUGAGAGGGUAGGAGGAAGGGAGGAGGUCAAUCAUCAAUGGAUUUCGAAAGCAACAAUUGGGUUUGGGAAGGGAUGUAUUACUAUCCACGCCUUUUUGGUGGAAUCAUGCUGACUGCAGCACUGCUCGGGUUAUCCACGAGUUAUUUUGGUGGGAUCAGUGUUCCUACGCUUCUUUAUCCUUUUCCUUAUCUAAGUAUCUUCUAUAAAAAGAAGCAUGAGAAGAAGCGUGUUCGUGUUUAUAUGGAUGGUUGUUUUGACCUGAUGCACUAUGGCCAUGCAAAUGCUUUGAGACAAGCAAAAGCCUUGGGAGAUGAACUGGUAGUUGGUGUUGUCAGUGAUGAGGAAAUCAUAGCUACUAAGGGUCCUCCAGUUUUGUGCAUGGAAGAAAGACUUGCUCUUGUUAGUGGCUUGAAGUGGGUGGAUGAAGUGAUUUCCAGUGCUCCUUAUGCAAUUACUGAAGACUUCAUGAACCAUCUAUUCAAUGAGUAUAAGAUUGACUACAUUAUACACGGUGAUGAUCCCUGUCUACUGCCCGAUGGAACUGAUGCGUAUGCACUAGCAAAGAAAGCUGGUCGUUACAAGCAGAUUAAACGCACUGAAGGUGUCUCCAGCACAG